This 20-nucleotide small nuclear RNA is filed under the name Arabidopsis thaliana (thale cress). RNAcentral's name for it is "snRNA_03190". Lineage: Eukaryota; Viridiplantae; Streptophyta; Magnoliopsida; Brassicales; Brassicaceae. The record is from RNAcentral.
UUUUUGAAUAGUUUGUGGAU